Molecule: ribosomal RNA, 254 nt
Filed under: uncultured bacterium
Lineage: Bacteria
Description: partial 16S ribosomal RNA
Rfam family: Bacterial small subunit ribosomal RNA
Source: RNAcentral
UACGUAGGGGGCAAGCGUUGUCCGGAUUUAUUGGGCGUAAAGAGCUCGUAGGCGGUUGGGCAAGUCACGUGUGAAAUCUCCACGCUCAACGUGGAGGCGCCACGUGAGACUGCCCUGACUCGAGUCCGGUAGGGGAGCGUGGAAUUCCAGGUGGAGCGGUGAAAUGCGUAGAUAUCUGGAGGAACGCCGGCGGCGAAAGCGACUCUCUGGUCUGUAACUGACGCUGAGGUGCGAAAGCUAGGGGAGCAAACGGG